AAUUAGGCAACUGCGUGACGCGAUAGGGAUAGUAGCGAAUAUCCUUUUGCGAGGUGGCUGAGCGCAGCGAAGUCCACCUCGCAAAAGAUAGCAGCGGAUAGCCCGACCCGAA
RNAcentral lists this small RNA (112 nucleotides) under Soonwooa buanensis. RNAcentral describes it as "Flavo-1 RNA". It matches the Rfam family "Flavo-1 RNA". The record is from Rfam by way of RNAcentral. Lineage: Bacteria; Pseudomonadati; Bacteroidota; Flavobacteriia; Flavobacteriales; Weeksellaceae.